GAUAGGAAGCAGGAAAGCGGGAGAGCUCGAGGGACGAGGGGGCUCGGUGUGUUUACACCAGGCACGGGCUACGAGCGUCCAUCCCGGCCCCUGGCUUGCGCUCCCGAAGAGGAGGGCAAGGCUGUUCUGGGAUCCGGCCGUCGUGCGGCAAGAGGCUUGUCUGUCCGGGUUGCCGGAACCACGAGAACCCAGAAGGAAACCGAGGGAAAGGAGCGGCGCGUUUUACUAGAGAGAGCGCGAGCGGAAGAGGCGAGAGCAGGAGCGCGCGAGGGAGCAUCGAGCGCAGCGGAGACAUGAGGACCUACUGGCUGCACAGCGUCUGGGUGCUGGGCUUUUUCCUGUCCCUCUUCUCAUUGCAAGGUAAGUGAAACCAAUUUUUACAGCACAGCAAUGGUUACUGGAAUCUGUCAACAUGUAGUGACUUUCUUCACUGAAUAUGCCACGGGGAGACAUUUCAAUAUCUUCCAUCACCCCCGCUUGACUUGUGAGUCUUUAUCCAGAAUUUCUAAAUAACCAAUAAGUAACCUAGG
RNAcentral lists this long non-coding RNA (530 nucleotides) under Pan troglodytes (chimpanzee). Its description in RNAcentral is "long non-coding RNA NONPTRT012060". Lineage: Eukaryota; Metazoa; Chordata; Mammalia; Primates; Hominidae. The record is from RNAcentral.